RNAcentral lists this ribosomal RNA (429 nucleotides) under Gemmatimonadota bacterium. Its description in RNAcentral is "Gemmatimonadetes bacterium partial 16S ribosomal RNA". It matches the Rfam family "Bacterial small subunit ribosomal RNA", at positions 355 to 776 of the family's 1533-position model. Lineage: Bacteria; Pseudomonadati; Gemmatimonadota. The record is from RNAcentral.
UAGGGAAUCUUCGGCAAUGGACGAAAGUCUGACCGAGCAACGCCGCGCGAGUGAAGAAGGUUUUCGGAUCGUAAAACUCUGUUGUUAGAGAAGAACAAGGACGUUAGUAACUGAACGUCCCCUGACGGUAUCUAACCAGAAAGCCACGGCUAACUACGUGCCAGCAGCCGCGGUAAUACGUAGGUGGCAAGCGUUGUCCGGAUUUAUUGGGCGUAAAGCGAGCGCAGGCGGUUUCUUAAGUCUGAUGUGAAAGCCCCCGGCUCAACCGGGGAGGGUCAUUGGAAACUGGGAGACUUGAGUGCAGAAGAGGGGAGUGGAAUUCCAUGUGUAGCGGUGAAAUGCGUAGAUAUAUGGAGGAACACCAGUGGCGAAGGCGGCUCUCUGGUCUGUAACUGACGCUGAGGCUCGAAAGCGUGGGGAGCAAACAGG